RNAcentral lists this ribosomal RNA (73 nucleotides) under Escherichia coli. RNAcentral's name for it is "partial 16S ribosomal RNA". It matches the Rfam family "Bacterial small subunit ribosomal RNA", at positions 1 to 71 of the family's 1533-position model. The record is from RNAcentral. Lineage: Bacteria; Pseudomonadati; Pseudomonadota; Gammaproteobacteria; Enterobacterales; Enterobacteriaceae.
UUAAAUUGAAGAGUUUGAUCAUGGCUCAGAUUGAAUGCUGGCGGCAGGCCUAACACAUGCAAGUCGAACGGUA